AUUGAACGCUGGCGGCAUGCCUUACACAUGCAAGUCGAACGGCAUCGCGGGAAAGCUUGCUUUCCUGGCGGCGAGUGGCGAACGGGUGAGUAACACAUCGGAACGUACCGGCUAGUGGGGGAUAACCCGUCGAAAGACGGGCUAAUACCGCAUACGCUCUUCGGAGGAAAGCAGGGGACCUUUGGGCCUUGCGCUAGCCGAGCGGCCGAUGUCCGAUUAGCUAGUUGGUGGGGUAAAGGCCUACCAAGGCGACGAUUGGUAGCGGGUCUGAGAGGACGAUCCGCCACACUGGGACUGAGACACGGCCCAGACUCCUACGGGAGGCAGCAGCGGGGAAUCUUGGACAAUGGGGGCAACCCUGAUCCAGCAAUGCCGCGUGGGUGAAGAAGGCCUUCGGGUUGUAAAGCCCUUUCGGCAGGGAAGAAAUCGGCGGGGCGAAUAACCCUGCUGGAUGACGGUACCUGCAGAAGAAGCACCGGCUAACUACGUG
RNAcentral lists this ribosomal RNA (490 nucleotides) under uncultured bacterium. RNAcentral describes it as "partial 16S ribosomal RNA". It matches the Rfam family "Bacterial small subunit ribosomal RNA", at positions 29 to 507 of the family's 1533-position model. The record is from RNAcentral.